Long non-coding RNA from Odocoileus virginianus texanus, 1167 nucleotides. RefSeq lists it as uncharacterized. NCBI's taxonomy places the organism in Eukaryota, Metazoa, Chordata, Mammalia, Artiodactyla, Cervidae. The record is from RefSeq and is a predicted model, not a curated record.
UCCAGAGUCCUAAUCUAGAUAUAAAUACGCUGAAUGUUAUGAAUGUAGUUUCCUAAACUGAGCCCUACAUCUGCGUCCUCAUCUGUGAGAUAAAGGUCACUCACCACGGCCUGAUGCGGAGUCAUGACGAUUAAGGUCAUUACUUAUAAAAAGUCAUUUUUAUUCCCAUCUGGGCAAAAGUGAAGUUCAAAGUCAGAGUUCCAUCAGAGUUCAGCUUCUGUGAUCCGUCAGACGAUUCCUGUUUAGAAGAGAGCUUUCUAAAGUCACAAGUGUUCUGCAUCACAGCACACUGCUGACUAAUUUGCAUUAAUAACUGAUGGUAGGAGAAAGAACCCCAGAGAAAAAACAGCAUGCCUGCUUUUGCCAAAUUGGAGCUGACCCAACUAGGAAAAAUUUCCAGUGUACUUUCAUAUUCUCCUGCCACCUGUGUGUGUUCCUGCUGCCUAAACAUACAUUUCUGACACGGGGUCUCGGACACCCCAGGAGGUACAAGGCCCUGUGGACUUUUUGUUCCAGGAGGUAAUGGUGCCAGAUCAGAAUAGAAAUUGCAAGACUUGAAACCACCGAACUGCACAUCUGAAGUGAGCUAUCAAACUACCCAGAUGGGGAAUCUCUGCCUGCAGCUCAGCAGUGGAACCAUUGGAACAAGAAAUCACCUGGAAUAUUUGAAUCCGUCACCAGCCUAAUUUCAGAAGAAAUUCAUCAUCAUAAAAAAUUCAUCAUCAGAAGAAAUUCAUCUUUCUAAUUUCAGAAGAUAAUUCAUCAGGUUUAUCUUCAGUGAGCAGUGACGUCUAAUCUAUUUAUUUCGGCUAUGAAAUUCUCCACCUUCUUUUGAACCAGCCCUUUGCUCAAGUAGCCAACAGAAACAAGUACCUGUUGGAAGUUUUCCAUUUAAAGAAAAUAAUCAUUUUGUAAUUUGAAUAACCAUUACUUGAAUAAGUUCAAAUUCCAUGUACAUAGAACUUUAUGAAAUUGAAGCAUAUCACCUUAUUACCUGUAAUUUAGAGAUAAGAACCUUCAUUUUUACUCUCCCCAUCAAAUUUUACAAUCUAGAAAAUUCCUCGUCCUCCUGUCACUUGAGAGAGAUCACAUUCAAAGACAUUUUCAUCUGCAUUGUUCCUUAAGAUACAGGAUUCUAUUCACUUGGAUGGCUUGCUUAUUAAGAAG